AAUGGGUCAGCGACUUAUAUUCUGUAGCAAGGUUAACCGAAUAGGGGAGCCGAAGGGAAACCGAGUCUUAACUGGGCGUUAAGUUGCAGGGUAUAGACCCGAAACCCGGUGAUCUAGCCAUGGGCAGGUUGAAGGUUGGGUAACACUAACUGGAGGACCGAACCGACUAAUGUUGAAAAAUUAGCGGAUGACUUGUGGCUGGGGGUGAAAGGCCAAUCAAACCGGGAGAUAGCUGGUUCUCCCCGAAAGCUAUUUAGGUAGCGCCUCGUGAAUUCAUCUCCGGGGGUAGAGCACUGUUUCGGCAAGGGGGUCAUCCCGACUUACCAACCCGAUGCAAACUGCGAAUACCGGAGAAUGUUAUCACGGGAGACACACGGCGGGUGCUAACGUCCGUCGUGAAGAGGGAAACAACCCAGACCGCCAGCUAAGGUCCCAAAGUCAUGGUUAAGUGGGAAACGAUGUGGGAAGGCCCAGACAGCCAGGAUGUUGGCUUAGAAGCAGCCAUCAUUUAAAGAAAGCGUAAUAGCUCACUGGUCGAGUCGGCCUGCGCGGAAGAUGUAACGGGGCUAAACCAUGCACCGAAGCUGCGGCAGCGACGCUGAUGCGUUGUUGGGUAGGGGAGCGUUCUGUAAGCCUGUGAAGGUGUGCUGUGAGGCAUGCUGGAGGUAUCAGAAGUGCGAAUGCUGACAUAAGUAACGAUAAAGCGGGUGAAAAGCCCGCUCGCCGGAAGACCAAGGGUUCCUGUCCAACGUUAAUCGGGGCAGGGUGAGUCGACCCCUAAGGCGAGGCCGAAAGGCGUAGUCGAUGGGAAACAGGUUAAUAUUCCUGUACUUGGUGUUACUGCGAAGGGGGGACGGAGAAGGCUAUGUUGGCCGGGCGACGGUUGUCCCGGUUUAAGCGUGUAGGCUGGUUUUCCAGGCAAAUCCGGAAAAUCAAGGCUGAGGCGUGAUGACGAGGCACUACGGUGCUGAAGCAACAAAUGCCCUGCUUCCAGGAAAAGCCUCUAAGCAUCAGGUAACAUCAAAUCGUACCCCAAACCGACACAGGUGGUCAGGUAGAGAAUACCAAGGCGCUUGAGAGAACUCGGGUGAAGGAACUAGGCAAAAUGGUGCCGUAACUUCGGGAGAAGGCACG
This 1134-nucleotide ribosomal RNA is filed under the name Escherichia coli. RNAcentral's name for it is "partial 23S ribosomal RNA". It matches the Rfam family "Bacterial large subunit ribosomal RNA", at positions 614 to 1750 of the family's 2925-position model. The record is from RNAcentral. Lineage: Bacteria; Pseudomonadati; Pseudomonadota; Gammaproteobacteria; Enterobacterales; Enterobacteriaceae.